CCGCUCCGCCGCCCUCGUAGCGCCGGGGCCGGGCCGAGCCGAGCCGGGCCGUGCCGUGCCGUGCCGUGCCGAGCCGACCGCGGGGGCCGAGCCGAACCAUGCCGUGCGGAUCCCGGGGGCCGAGCCGGGCCAUGCCGUGCGGACCGCGGGGACCGAGCCGAGCCAUGCCGUGCGGACCGCGGGGACCGAGCCGAGCCAUGCCGUGCGGACCGCGAGGGCCGAGCCGAGCCAUGCCGUGCGGACCGCGGGGGCCGAGCCGAGCCAUGCCGUGCGGACCGCGGGGGCCGAGCCGGGCCAUGCCGUGCGGAUCCCGGGAGCCGAGCCGGGCCAUGCCGUGCCGGGCUCUCCCAGCAGCGGCGCUGGGCCUGCGGGUCUUGGUGCUGAGCGCGGCGCUGGGAGCGGGGGCGGUCCGGGCUCAGCCGCCGCCCUUCCCUUUCUGGGACCCCUCGCUGCCCUGGCAGCGCCGCCUCGACGACCUGCUGAGCCGGCUGAGCCCCGCCGAGCUGGUGCUGCAGGUGGCGAGGGGGGGAGCGAUGGGGAACGGCCCCGCGCCCCCCAUCCCGCGGCUGGGCAUCGCGCCCUACAACUGGAACACGGAGUGUCUGCGGGGCGACGCCGAGGCGCCUGGAUGGGCCACGGCUUUCCCGCAGGCGUUGGGGCUUGCCGCCGCCUUCAGCCCAGAACUCAUCUACCGUGUGGCCAAUGCCACAGCCACCGAGGUGAGAGCCAAGCACAACAGCUUUGCUUCUGCUGGCCGCUACAGUGACCACACCGGGCUCAGCUGCUUCAGCCCUGUCCUGAACAUCAUGAGACACCCACUGUGGGGGAGGAACCAGGAGACCUAUGGGGAGGACCCGUUCCUGAGUGGGGAGCUGGCCCGCAGCUUUGUGCAGGGGCUGCAGGGCCAGCACCCCCGUUAUGUUAAGGCCAGCGCUGGCUGCAAACACUUCAGCGUGCACGGAGGCCCUGAGAACAUCCCCGUCUCCAGGCUAAGCUUCGAUGCCAAGGUGCUGGAGCGGGACUGGCGCAUGACCUUCCUGCCCCAGUUCCAGGCAUGUGUGCGUGCUGGCUCCUACAGCUUCAUGUGCAGCUACAACAGGAUCAACGGCGUUCCCGCUUGCGCCAACAAGAAGCUGCUGACGGACAUCCUGCGUGGCGAGUGGGGGUUUGAUGGGUACGUGGUGAGCGACGAGGGGGCUGUGGAGCUCAUCAUGCUAGGGCAUCACUACACACGCAGCUUCCUGGAGACAGCGGUUGCCUCGGUGAACGCUGGCUGCAACCUGGAGCUCUCCUAUGGCAUGAGGAACAAUGUCUUCAUGCACAUCCCUCAGGCUCUGGCCAUGGGCAACAUCACGCUGCAGAUGCUGCGUGACCGAGUCCGGCCUCUCUUCUACACACGCAUGCGUCUGGGGGAGUUUGACCCCCCAGCCAUGAACCCCUACAGCUCCCUGGACCUGAGUGUGGUGCAGAGCCCCGAGCACCGCAACCUCUCACUGGAAGCUGCUGUCAAGAGCUUUGUGCUGCUGAAGAAUGUGCGGGGGACAUUGCCCCUGAGGGCCCAGGACUUGUCCAGCCAGCACCUCGCGGUUGUGGGUCCCUUUGCUGACAAUCCCCGGGUACUAUUUGGGGACUAUGCACCGGUGCCAGAGCCUCAGUACAUCUACACUCCCCGGAGAGGGCUGGAGAUGCUGGGGGCCAAUGUCAGCUUUGCAGCGGGCUGCAGCGAGCCACGGUGCCAGCGGUACACCCGGGCAGAACUGGUGAAGGCCGUGGGGGCAGCUGACGUGGUGCUGGUCUGCCUGGGGACAGGGGUAGAUGUGGAGACAGAGGCAAAAGACCGGAGUGACCUAUCCCUGCCGGGGCACCAGCUGGAGCUGCUGCAGGAUGCCGUGCAGGCGGCCACUGGGCGCCCCGUCAUUCUGCUGCUGUUCAACGCGGGGCCCCUGGAUGUGAGCUGGGCACAGGCACAUGACGGCGUGGGGGCCAUCCUGGCCUGCUUCUUCCCUGCCCAGGCCACCGGCUUGGCCAUUGCCAGGGUCCUGCUGGGAGAGGUGGGGGCCAGCCCGGCUGGCCGGCUGCCGGCCACUUGGCCUGCAGGCAUGCACCAGGUGCCACCAAUGGAGAACUACACCAUGGAGGGACGGACAUACCGGUACUAUGGGCAGGAGGCCCCGCUCUACCCUUUUGGGUAUGGACUGUCCUACACCACCUUCCGCUAUCGGGACCUGGUGCUCAGCCCCCCAGUGCUGCCCGUCUGUGCCAACCUCUCUGUGUCUGUGGUGCUGGAGAACACAGGGCUGCGGGACAGCGAGGAGGUGGUGCAGCUGUACCUGCGCUGGGAGCAGUCAUCCGUGCCGGUGCCCCGCUGGCAGUUGGUGGCUUUCCGCCGUGUGGCCGUGCUGGCCGGCCGGGAGGCCAAGCUGUCCUUCCAGGUGCUGGCCGAGCAGCGUGCGGUCUGGGCACAGGACUGGCACCUGGAGCCUGGCACCUUCACCCUCUUCGCCGGUGGGCAGCAGCCAGGCCAGAAGACGCGGGCGCCCUCGGAGGUGCUGAGCGCGCGGUUCAGCGUCACCGGCACGGCCCGGCCCUUACGCGCGUGUUAGCGGCGGGGGUGGGCACGGGGUGCUGGCAGAGGGAAAGGAUGCGAGGUACCCCAUGUGCCACGGGCACUGUGGUGGUUCUCUGCCCUGCAAUAAAGUGCUGGUGCUCCAUGGCA
Long non-coding RNA from Chloebia gouldiae (Gouldian finch), 2716 nucleotides. NCBI's taxonomy places the organism in Eukaryota, Metazoa, Chordata, Aves, Passeriformes, Passeridae. The record is from Ensembl.